GCGUGAAUACCGCCCAUCUUGUAUACCCACUCGGCAGUGGGUGGACACUGCUUGCUUCCACCCGUUGACGACUGUGGAAAACGCGGCCAUCAACAGUGUGCGUGCACAUCUUGGAAUCCUGGCUUUCAAUGGAAGCACGGACACCUAACUAAGGAAGGAAGAAAUGGUCAAGUGCUGCAGGAAGGUGUCCACUUCAGUCAGAGUGGCCUUACUCAUCACUGAUCCGAGACUUUGAGAAGUUUCCCACCGGAGAGAUGGGAUAUCAAAGUGUGGAUUGGCCUGCUCCUGAACAGUGAGAGAUGGGAGUUUACCCUAAGCCUACCAACCAUACAAACUGGAGGACGGACCAGCAGCGUGCUGGCUGACCUGUCACGGUGCUCAUAGCACGGGGA
This is a long non-coding RNA of Ailuropoda melanoleuca (giant panda), 392 nucleotides long. RefSeq lists it as uncharacterized. NCBI's taxonomy places the organism in Eukaryota, Metazoa, Chordata, Mammalia, Carnivora, Ursidae. The record is from RefSeq and is a predicted model, not a curated record. The transcript is spliced from 3 exons.